UACGUAGGGGGCAAGCGUUGUUCGGAAUUACUGGGCGUAAAGGGCGCGUAGGCGGCACGACAAGUCGGGAGUGAAAGCCCGGGGCUCAACCCCGGAGGGUCUCUCGAAACUGUCGAGCUAGAGUGCGGAAGAGGCAAUCGGAAUUCCCAGUGUAGCGGUGAAAUGCGUAGAGAUCGGGAGGAACAUCUGUGGCGAAGGCGACUGCCUGGACCAGCACUGACACUGAUGAGCGAAAGCCAGGGGAGCAAACGGG
This 253-nucleotide ribosomal RNA is filed under the name uncultured bacterium. Its description in RNAcentral is "partial 16S ribosomal RNA". It matches the Rfam family "Bacterial small subunit ribosomal RNA", at positions 524 to 776 of the family's 1533-position model. The record is from RNAcentral.